RNAcentral lists this ribosomal RNA (463 nucleotides) under uncultured bacterium. RNAcentral describes it as "partial 16S ribosomal RNA". It matches the Rfam family "Bacterial small subunit ribosomal RNA", at positions 28 to 507 of the family's 1533-position model. The record is from RNAcentral.
GACGAACGCUGGCGGCGUGCUUAACACAUGCAAGUCGAACGGAAAGGCCUUUUCGGGGGUACUCGAGUGGCGAACGGGUGAGUAACACGUGGGUGAUCUGCCCUGCACUCUGGGAUAAGCCUGGGAAACUGGGUCUAAUACCGGAUAGGACCUCACUCUAGUUUGUGUGGUGGAAAGUUUUUUCGGUGUAGGAUGUGCCCGCGGCCUAUCAGCUUGUUGGUGGGGUAUUGGCCUACCAAGGCGGCGACGGGUAGCCGGACUGAGAGGUUGUUCGGCCACAUUGGGACUGAGAUACGGCCCAGACUCCUACGGGAGGCAGCAGUGGGGAAUAUUGCACAAUGGGCGCAAGCCUGAUGCAGCGACGCCGCGUGGGGGAUGACGGCCUUCGGGUUGUAAACUGCUUUCGGCAGGGACGAAGCGUUUUGUGACGGUACCUGGAGAAGAAGCACCGGCUAACUACGUG